CGCUGCCGACACGAUCGAGCGAUGUUGUCGCUGCUGCGUUGUUGUUCCGCGAUGCUGCUGCCGACAUUGUCGCGGUGUUGCAGCUCAAUUCUGGCCCGCCAGUGAGUUGAUACUAGAGCAGGUUUCUGGUUGGAUUCGCGAAGUUUAAGGUGAGGACGGAAAUUCAUAGAGGAACUUUAUAUUCGAAGACUUCCAAAUGUAAAUUGUACUUGGGUUUAAAUAUGUAUUAGUUAUAUUAGUCUUGUUGAGGUUUUGAUUGAAGAUUUCUUUAAUUAGUUUGUGAUACUGAUUAGUGCCAUUGGGUUUGAUUCCCUCUUGAGGUUGUUUCCGCAAAAGCGUUGUCGGUUUUAGGAUUUGAGAUGGAGAAUAUUAUAUUUUAUUGAGUUUGUAAACAGGUUUAAAUUAUUUCCCA
Long non-coding RNA from Beta vulgaris subsp. vulgaris (sugar beet), 412 nucleotides. RefSeq lists it as uncharacterized. The transcript has 2 exons. The record is from RefSeq and is a predicted model, not a curated record. Lineage: Eukaryota; Viridiplantae; Streptophyta; Magnoliopsida; Caryophyllales; Amaranthaceae.